UUAAAAUUUAUGUAUGGCACAAAGUGGAUGCCUUGACUCAAAUAUCCGAUGAAGGACGUACAAGUCUGCGAUAAGCUUGGAGGAGUCGACAAGAGACGUUAUUACUCCAAGAUUUCCGAAUGGGGGAACCCAAUACAAGUAAUUUGUAUCAUCCGUAAUACGGAAGGACACACGGUGAACUGAAAUAUCUAAGUAGCCGUGGAAAAUAAAUCAAAAGAGAUUCCCUGAGUAGUGACGAGCGAAACGGGAACAGCCCAAACCAUAAGAUACGCGUAGGUAGCUUCUGUACUUAUGGGGUUGUAGGAAUAAUAUUCGGGGAGGCUAAUAAACCGAAUAUACUGUAUUAUUAUUAAGAGAAAUGUAAUGGAAUGCAUACCAUAGAGGGUGAAAGUCCCGUAUCCUAAAAUAAUUUUACCGUGUAUCUAUUAUUUCCUGAGUAGGAUCAGGCACGUGUAACCUGGUUUGAAUCUGGGGAGCCCACUCUCCAAGGCUAAAUAGUAUUUGAGAUCGAUAGUGAACUAGUACCAUGAGGGAAAGGUGAAAAGAACCCCGGGAGGGGAGUGAAAUAGAACCUGAAACUUUGUGCCUUUAAUGAGAUGGAGCCUUCGGGUGACAUCGUACUUUUUGUAGAACGGACCAACGAGUUAAUGAGUAUGGCAAGGUUAAGACAGUUAUAGUCGGAGCCGUAGUGAAAGCGAGCCUGAAUAGGGCGACUUAGUCAUAUUUAUUAGACCCGAAACUAGGUGAGCUUCCCAUGAGCAGGCUGAAGUAAAGGUAAAACUUUAUGGAGGGCCGAACCAUUUGGAGCUGCAAGUCCAUUGGAUGACUUGUGGGAAGGAGUGAAAAGCUAAUCGAACCUAGAGAUAGCUGGUUCUCCGCGAAAUAGCUUUAGGGCUAGCCUCGGUCAACUAUUACAGAGGGGUAGAGCUCUGAUAGGGCUAGCGGGACGCGAGUCUUAGCAAACCCUGAUAAACUUCGAAUACUCUGUAAACUAUACCGGGAGUCAGACGGUGACAGAUAAGUGCCAUCGUCAAAAGGGAAACAGCCCAGACUACUAUCUAAGGUCCCUAAUUUAUAACUAAGUGGAAAAAGAUGUGAGAUUGCUGCGACAACCAGGAGGUUGGCUUAGAAGCAGCCACCCCUUUAAAGAGUGCGUAAUAGCUCACUGGUCAAGCGAUCUUGCGCUGAAAAUUCAACGGGGCUAAGUUAUAAACCGAAGAUGUAGAAUUAAUUUAUUAAUUGGUAGCGGAGCGUUCCGUAUGUUGAUGAAGGUGAAGGGUGACCUUUGCUGGAGAUAUCGGAAGUGAAAAUGUUGGUAUGAGUAACGUAAUGAAGAUGAAAACUCUUCACACCGGAUACCCAAGGUUUCCUACGCAACGUCAGUCGACGUAGGGUUAGUCGGUCCUAAGGUGCAACCGAAAGGUGGAGCUGAUGGAUACUAGGUUAAUAUUCCUAGACUAUGUAUAUGAAGUGAAGGGGGGACAUAUCGGGAUAUAGAAGACUCUGAAUGAAUUGAGUUACGAAGACAAGUCUUAAGAUGUAGGAAAAUCCGCAUUUUUAUUAAGGGCGAGUCCAGUUAUGGUGCUUUUGCUAGCUUGCUAGUGAGAAAUCCGGCUUCUACUAUAUUCUGGUAUCGAGAAAAGCCUCUAAGCGUUAAUUGUAUAUGUAACCGUACCGUAAACGAACACUCGUGGGUUAGUGGAGAACACUAAGGUGGACGAGAUAACCAUGCUUAAGGAACUCGGCAAAACAGCGGUCGUAACUUCGGGAUAAGACCUGCCUGGCUUCUAAUUUAGGAACCAGGCCGCAGCGAAAGAACUCAGGCGACUGUUUACCAAAAACACAGCUCUGUGCAAACUCGUAAGAGGAUGUAUACGGGGUGAUGCCUGCCCAGUGCUAGAAGGUUACGGGGAUGUGUGCAAGCACUGAACUUAAGCCCUAGUGAACGGCGGCCGUAACUAUAACGGUCCUAAGGUAGCGAAAUUCCUUGUCGGGUAAGUUCCGACCCGCACGAAUGGCAUAACGGUCUGAGUACUGUCUCAAGCAUGGACUCGGUGAAAUUGCAAUGUCGGUAAAAAUGCCGACUACCUGCAGCAAGACGGAAAGACCCUAUGGAGCUUUACUAUAGCUUGGUAUUGGGUUAUGUUUUAAAAUGUGCAGAAUAGGUGGGAGACUAUGAAGUAUUGACGCUAGUCGGUAUGGAGUCACCUUUGAGAUACCACCCUUUUUAAAAUGUAACUCUAACCCGUAAUACGGGGACAGUGCUUGGUGGGUAGUUUAACUGGGGCGGUUGCCUCCUAAAGAGUAACGGAGGCGCGCAAUGGUCAACUAUCUUCGGAUGGAAAUCGAAGAGAUAGUGUAUUCGCAUAAGUUGGCCUGACUGAGAGACCUACAAGUCGAUCAGACACGAAAGUGGGCGAAAGUGAUCCGGCACCAACGAGUGGAAGUGGUGUCGCUCAACGGAUAAAAGUUACCCUAGGGAUAACAGGCUGAUCGCGUCCAAGAGUUCACAUCGACGACGCGGUUUGGCACCUCGAUGUCGGCUCGUCGCAUCCUGGGGCUGGAGAAGGUCCCAAGGGUAUGGCUGUUCGCCAUUUAAAGCGGUACGCGAGCUGG
RNAcentral lists this ribosomal RNA (2616 nucleotides) under Candidatus Altimarinota bacterium. RNAcentral describes it as "partial 23S ribosomal RNA". It matches the Rfam family "Bacterial large subunit ribosomal RNA", at positions 1 to 2608 of the family's 2925-position model. Lineage: Bacteria; Candidatus Altimarinota. The record is from RNAcentral.